UACGUAGGGUGCAAGCGUUGUCCGGAUUUAUUGGGCGUAAAGAGCGCGUAGGCGGCUCGUUAAGUGAGAAGUGAAAGCUGUGGGCUCAACCCACAAACCGCUUUUCAUACUGGCGAGCUGGAGUGAUGCAGAGGUGGAUAGAAUUCCCGGUGUAGCGGUGAAAUGCGUUGAUAUCGGGAGGAAUACCCGUGGCGAAGGCGACUCUUUGGCCUGUAACUGACGCUGAGGCGCGAAAGCGUGGGGAGCAAACAGG
RNAcentral lists this ribosomal RNA (253 nucleotides) under uncultured bacterium. RNAcentral's name for it is "partial 16S ribosomal RNA". It matches the Rfam family "Bacterial small subunit ribosomal RNA", at positions 524 to 776 of the family's 1533-position model. The record is from RNAcentral.